This 273-nucleotide signal recognition particle RNA is filed under the name Microcebus murinus (gray mouse lemur). RNAcentral's name for it is "Metazoan signal recognition particle RNA (ENSMICG00000038215.2)". It matches the Rfam family "Metazoan signal recognition particle RNA". From Rfam's summary of the family: The signal recognition particle (SRP) is a universally conserved ribonucleoprotein. Lineage: Eukaryota; Metazoa; Chordata; Mammalia; Primates; Cheirogaleidae. The record is from RNAcentral.
CCUGUAGUUCCAGCUACUUGGGAGGCUGAGGCAGGAGGAUCUCUUGACUCCAACAGACUUGGGCUGUAGUGUGCUAUGCUAAUUUGGUGUCUGCACUAAGUUCAGCAUCAGUAUGGUGACCUCCUAGGAGCAGGGUAUCACCAGGUUGCCUAAGGAGAAGAAACUGACUCAGGUCAGAAAUGGAGCAGGUCAAAACUCCCAGAAAGAUCAGUACUGGGAUCAUGACUGUGAAUAGCCCUUCACUACCCUGAAAUAAAUGGAUUAAGUAUCUUU